This is a long non-coding RNA of Olea europaea var. sylvestris, 2075 nucleotides long. RefSeq lists it as uncharacterized. The transcript is spliced from 4 exons. The record is from RefSeq and is a predicted model, not a curated record. NCBI's taxonomy places the organism in Eukaryota, Viridiplantae, Streptophyta, Magnoliopsida, Lamiales, Oleaceae.
CUGGAUCGCUUCUCCACAAAUAUAGGUGGUCCGCACCACCCAAGAAAGCAUUGAAACUCAAUAUUGAUGGUGCACUAUUCUUUGACUCAAAUAAGUCUGGGAUUGAAAUCAUUUUACGGGACCACGUGGGGGAAACAAUUUUGUCUGCUAGUGGUCCUGCAAACACAAUCCUGGAACCAGGACACAUUGAAGUUGAUGCACUUGUGAGAGGUCUACAACUGUGUCUUAACCUUGGAAUAUCUCGCUUAGUGGUGGAAAGUGAUUGUUUGUUCCUUGCCAACGAAAUCAAUAUGCCAAGCUCGUCCUCAGCGUUAAUCCAUUCUCAAGUUACUGAAAUAAAGGAAUUAAUGUAGAGAUUUCCUCAAAGUAACCUUCAGCACUGUAACAGACUGAGUAACCUAGUAGUACAUUCCCUAGUGCGACACGCAUAAUCCCUCGAAGACAUUUUCCUCUGGUGGCAUAGUAUUUCUUUAUUCCGUGAAAAUGUAAUUUUCUUUGAUAAACACUAUUGUACCCUUUCUUAUGGCUUAUUACUUUAUGGAUGAAAUAUUUUCACAUAAAAAAAAAAAAUUACUAUUGUGAAACCUUCAAAAUACCUCAAAGAACACAUUUUCCCUGGGGUUGUGCAAUUUGACUAUCAGUUAAUAUAGGCACCAACAUUACGAGUGACAAUAAUAACAAGAACACGAAAAUAAAUGCAAAAGAGAAGUGGUCGCGUGACAGUGAGAGCUACUUGACUGACAAUGAAGAUGCCCUGCCUCUCAUGAUGACCUCUUCAAACUCUUCCCUAGUGUCAUCAAAGGAAAUCGACAAGAGGCUCCAGUGGGAUCCUAUGAUAGAGUUCAGUUUGAGCUUUCAUGAAUUAGAUAGUUUGUAUUGGAAUUUAAUCGAUCUAUUUGGGGAGUGAAGAUAAUUGUGUAACCGAUUGACCCAACUGUUUUAUUUUGCAUAUUAUUUUCCUUCGUGUAUAUGUAUUGUCAUCCAAAGAGGAGGCACUAGUCUAUAGUCUUGUCAAUUUUGAAGCAAUUGAGAUUUUAGUGAGGGUAGAAGAUUAUAAUUGCAAUCUUCUGCUUGGUAAGGUGACCUGAAUUUCAUUUGGAAACUGAUUUGAAAUCCCAGAGGUUAUGCCAUUUGGUUCAACAGGAAGAGAAGUGACACAAAUCUACUUAUUGGUGCAUUUGCUAGAGGACCUGAUGCUUAUGACAACUUUGGUGAUCACAGAGAUAAUUACGAUCAAACUUAGCCUGCUAUCUACAACAAUGCCCCCUUAUGGGCUUAUUAGCAAGGCUACAUGGUGGUCACAAUGGAUACAACCAGCUCUUUCCAGUGGAACUUCCUGCACUUAAACCGGUUAAUACUCAGUAGAAAGCAGCCCCAAAACCUGAAGUAACUCCAGUGCCAGGCAAUUGUUAAAGAAUUUCAAGCUUGAUGUGAAAGAACCAAUUCCAUGUGAUCGAUAUAGGUAAUCCCAACUUUACACCAUUCUGAUGGCAAAGUACUAGUGGUCAGAUGAACUUGGCAACAAGGACACAGGUGGCUCAUCUGGCUCUCAAGCAUCGCCUGAAGACAAAGCAACAACAAAGGAUUAUUGUAUUUGGUGGAGCUUAGUCUCUACUAUUACUUCUAAUUUCAUUAUGCUCACUUUUUUUCUUCUUCCUUUUUGUUUUGUUUUGUUUAGUUUAAUAAUUUUUAAAACUUGUGAUUUUAGUCUUGUGAAAUAUGACAAAGGAGUUGGAGAUGACUGGUGGGAAUUGAAAAAAGAAAAACCAUGUCUCUUGAUUCAAGUUCAAGACUAUCCAUUUGAUACCUUAUAUUUUUUGUAGGCAGUGGAUGGCGGUGGUGUUGCAGGCAAAAGAUGCACUGGAAUGGGCUUAUAGAGGAGAAGGAGCUGUCAAGUCAAUUGUGUUAUUGCUCAUUCUGUAAAAUCUCAUGAUUUUAUAUGUUUUCUUCUCCUCUUUUUUAUUCUUACCUUUUGUUGAAUCAAAUAUUUUUGACUUUCACUUUUGCUUAUCCUGCGAAUAAAUAUUGUCUUUUAACACACCGAUUUUAUGAACAAACACCUUUUUAGUUAUUUA